RNAcentral lists this unclassified non-coding RNA (77 nucleotides) under Paenibacillus typhae. Lineage: Bacteria; Bacillati; Bacillota; Bacilli; Caryophanales; Paenibacillaceae. The record is from RNAcentral.
AACCGCCGUAUACCGAACGGUACGUACGGUGGUGUGAGAGGUCGGCUGCUCAGUUAAUGGGCAGCCUCCUACUCGAU